GCGGGGAUAGCUCAGUUGGGAGAGCGUCAGACUGAAGUCCGACUCCAGUUCUAAAUCUGAAGGUCGUGUGUUCAAUCCACACUCACCGCA
Molecule: transfer RNA, 90 nt
Filed under: Gnomoniopsis sp. IMI 355080
Lineage: Eukaryota; Fungi; Ascomycota; Sordariomycetes; Diaporthales; Gnomoniaceae
Description: tRNA-Phe
Rfam family: tRNA
About the family: Transfer RNA (tRNA) molecules are approximately 80 nucleotides in length.
Source: RNAcentral